This 785-nucleotide long non-coding RNA is filed under the name Homo sapiens (human). RNAcentral describes it as "HSALNT0291466". The record is from RNAcentral. Lineage: Eukaryota; Metazoa; Chordata; Mammalia; Primates; Hominidae.
ACUCCUGACCUCAUGAUCCGCCCACCUCAACCUCUCAAAAGUGCUGGGAUUACAGGUGUGAGCCACCCCAUCCGGCCCCUAUUACUUCAAUUGAUGAUUGAUCUUGGGUAAGUUGCUUGCCUCCUCUGUGUCAAUUUACUCGUCUGUAAAACAGGAUAUCUACUUCUUAGUAUUGUUCAGAAGACCAAACGGAGAAAUACAGUUGUUGUGCAUUGUCUCGGUAUCUAGAAAAAUGUCUGGCACACAGUAGGUGCUCAAUUAAUGUUAGCUAACUGUGAUCUCUUGUUAGCUGAUGUUUCUCUAAUAGUAGAUUCUUAGCCAAGACACUUCCACUCUCUGGCCUUUUGUGCUGUACAACAUUAUCCAUCAAGGACUGGGUGGAAAAAACCUAGUUCCUUUUGCCUCUAGUGCCUCUAGUAAAAUGAAAGAGUUGGGCUGGUGGAUAUCUAAGAGUCUGUCAAUACUGAGAGUCCCUUCUAACCCAGGUCCCUCCCUGAGGAAAUCCCCAUCAUGACAAGCACUCAGAGAAGUUGGUUGGUACAGAGUUUCUCUGCUGGUUACCCCAGGUGUGGUGUGGACCCCAGAAGGAUGACAGUUUGAAUCCAAGGGCAGUCCCCUUCCUGGCACAGCAAGCAAAAUAAAGUGAAGCCCCUGGAGGCUCAGGCUCCACAGCAAGACCACAGAGAAGACCAGCCCUCUCCCAUUGCCACAAAGACAAGAGAUAGCUUGAAAGAAGACAGCUAAAAGUGAAAUGAGCCAGGCAUGGUGGCGGGCACCUCUGUAAU